UACAGAGACGUCGAGCGUUGUUCGGAUUCAUUGGGCGUAAAGGGUGCGUAGGCGGUGAGGUAAGUCGGAUGUGAAAUCCCAAAGCUUAACUUUGGAAGUGCAUCCGAAACUCCCUCGCUUGAGGACUGGAAGGGAGACUGGAAUUCUCGGUGUAGCGGUGAAAUGCGUAGAUAUCGAGAGGAACACCUGUGGCGAAGGCGGGUCUCUGGACAGUUCCUGACGCUGAGGCGCGAAAGCUAGGGGAGCAAACGGG
Molecule: ribosomal RNA, 253 nt
Filed under: uncultured bacterium
Lineage: Bacteria
Description: partial 16S ribosomal RNA
Rfam family: Bacterial small subunit ribosomal RNA
Source: RNAcentral